GACGAACGCUGGCGGCGUGCCUAAUACAUGCAAGUUGAGCGCUGAAGGUUGGUACUUGUCCCAACUGGAUGAGCAGCGAACGGGUGAGUAACGCGUGGGGAAUCUGCCUUUGAGCGGGGGACAACAUUUGGAAACGAAUGCUAAUACCGCAUAAAAACUUUAAACACAAGUUUUAAGUUUGAAAGAUGCAAUUGCAUCACUCAAAGAUGAUCCCGCGUUGUAUUAGCUAGUUGGUGAGGUAAAGGCUCACCAAGGCGAUGAUACAUAGCCGACCUGAGAGGGUGAUCGGCCACAUUGGGACUGAGACACGGCCCAAACGCCUACGGGAGGCAGCAGUAGGGAAUCUUCGGCAAUGGACGAAAGUCUGACCGAGCAACGCCGCGUGAGUGAAGAAGGUUUUCGGAUCGUAAAACUCUGUUGGUAGAGAAGAACGUUGGUGAGAGUGGAAAGCUCAUCAAGUGACGGUAACUACCCAGAAAGGGACGGCUAACUACGUG
This 497-nucleotide ribosomal RNA is filed under the name uncultured bacterium. Its description in RNAcentral is "partial 16S ribosomal RNA". It matches the Rfam family "Bacterial small subunit ribosomal RNA", at positions 28 to 507 of the family's 1533-position model. The record is from RNAcentral.